Molecule: ribosomal RNA, 253 nt
Filed under: uncultured bacterium
Lineage: Bacteria
Description: partial 16S ribosomal RNA
Rfam family: Bacterial small subunit ribosomal RNA
Source: RNAcentral
AACGUAGGACGCGAGCGUUAUCCGGAGUUACUGGGCGUAAAGCGCGUGCAGGCGGUCUGACAAGUCUGAUGUGAAAUCUCCGGGCUUAACCGGGAGAGGCCAUUGGAAACUGACAGGCUGGAGGGCAGUAGAGGUAGGCGGAAUUCCGGGUGGAGUGGUGAAAUGCGUAGAGAUCCGGAGGAACACCAGAGGCGAAGGCGGCCUACUGGGCUGCACCUGACGCUGAGCCGCGAAAGCCAGGGGAGCAAACGGG